Molecule: ribosomal RNA, 498 nt
Filed under: uncultured bacterium
Lineage: Bacteria
Description: partial 16S ribosomal RNA
Rfam family: Bacterial small subunit ribosomal RNA
Source: RNAcentral
GAUGAACGCUGGCGGCGUGCCUAAUACAUGCAAGUCGAGCGAACGGACGAGAAGCUUGCUUUUCUGAUGUUAGCGGCGGACGGGUGGGUAACACGUGGAUAACCUACCUAUAAGACUGGGAUAACUUCGGGAAACCGGAGCUAAUACCGGAUAAUAUUUUGAACCGCAUGGUUCAAAAGUGAAAGACGGUCUUGCCGUCACUUAUAGAUGGAUCCGCGCUGCAUUAGCUAGUUGGUAAGGUAACGGCUUACCAAGGCAACGAUGCAUAGCCGACCUGAGAGGGUGAUCGGCCACACUGGAACUGAGACACGGUCCAGACUCCUACGGGAGGCAGCAGUAGGGAAUCUUCCGCAAUGGGCGAAAGCCUGACGGAGCAACGCCGCGUGAGUGAUGAAGGUCUUCGGAUCGUAAAACUCUGUUAUUAGGGAAGAACAUAUGUGUAAGUAACUGUGCACAUCUUGACGGUACCUAAUCAGAAAGCCACGGCUAACUACGUGC